GUGCUCGCUUUGGCAGCACAUAUACUAAAAUUGGAACGAUACAGAGAAGAUUAGAAUGGUCCCUACUCAAGGAUGACAUGCAAAAAAAUAUAUGUUGAAAGAACAU
Ochotona princeps (American pika) is the source of this 106-nucleotide small nuclear RNA. The record is from Ensembl. Lineage: Eukaryota; Metazoa; Chordata; Mammalia; Lagomorpha; Ochotonidae.